Antechinus flavipes (yellow-footed antechinus) is the source of this 110-nucleotide small nuclear RNA. The record is from RefSeq and is a predicted model, not a curated record. Lineage: Eukaryota; Metazoa; Chordata; Mammalia; Dasyuromorphia; Dasyuridae.
AUCUCUGCUUACUCUAAUACGAUAUAUACUAAAAUUGGAAUAAAACAGAGAUGAUUAGCAGCACCCUGUAGAGGAAUGACAGGCAAAUUCAUGAAACAUUCCAUAUUCUC